AAUCCGUGUUGCGGGCACUUCCUCGGGAACUCCUUGAACCUUUCCCAUGUCUCAAAUAGAGACUCAAAUUAUGACUGUAAAAAGGAUGCAAUCUCAUUCCUAAGCUU
This is a small nucleolar RNA of Dioscorea cayenensis subsp. rotundata (Guinea yam), 107 nucleotides long. The record is from RefSeq and is a predicted model, not a curated record. Lineage: Eukaryota; Viridiplantae; Streptophyta; Magnoliopsida; Dioscoreales; Dioscoreaceae.